Molecule: ribosomal RNA, 655 nt
Filed under: uncultured Eubacteriales bacterium
Lineage: Bacteria; Bacillati; Bacillota; Clostridia; Eubacteriales
Description: bacterial SSU rRNA
Rfam family: Bacterial small subunit ribosomal RNA
Source: RNAcentral
GAAACUUUAACAGAACCCUUCGGGGCGAAGAUAAAGUGGAUUAGCGGCGGACGGGUGAGUAACACGUGAGUAACCUGCCUUAGACAUUGGGAUAGCCUCGGGAAACCGGGAUUAAUACCAAAUAAAAUCAUAAUGACACAUGUCAUAACGAUCAAAACUCCGGUGGUCUAAGAUGGACUCGCGUCCCAUUAGCUAGUUGGUAGAGUAAAAGCCUACCAAGGCGACGAUGGGUAGCCGGCCUGAGAGGGUGAACGGCCACAUUGGAACUGAGAAACGGUCCAAACUCCUACGGGAGGCAGCAGUGGGGAAUAUUGCACAAUGGAGGGAACUCUGAUGCAGCGACGCCGCGUGAACGAAGAAGGCUUUCGAGUCGUAAAGUUCUUUUAUAUGGGAAGAUAAUGACGGUACCAUAAGAAAAAGCCCCGGCUAACUACGUGCCAGCAGCCGCGGUAAUACGUAGGGGGCUAGCGUUGUCCGGAAUCACUGGGCGUAAAGGGUUCGCAGGCGGAAAUGCAAGUCAGAUGUAAAAGGCAGUAGCUUAACUACUGUAAGCAUUUGAAACUGCAUAUCUUGAGAAGAGUAGAGGUAAGUGGAAUUUUUAGUGUAGCGGUGAAAUGCGUAGAUAUUAAAAAGAAUACCGGUGGCGAAGGCGACU